This 871-nucleotide long non-coding RNA is filed under the name Saimiri boliviensis boliviensis (Bolivian squirrel monkey). RNAcentral's name for it is "lncRNA (ENSSBOG00000036566.1)". Lineage: Eukaryota; Metazoa; Chordata; Mammalia; Primates; Cebidae. The record is from RNAcentral.
UUGAAACCUUUGUAACUAUUAAGGUUGAAGUGCCAUUUAAAGAAAAAGGAAGGCAAAGAAGUGAGCUAUAGGAAGCCCUGUUUCAGGAUCCCUAGCCCGCAAAGACACGUCCAAGGUCCAGGAAGAAGUAGCCCCAGGAGAGUUAGAGGAAUGCAGCUCUGCCAGCCUGGAGGUCACUUUGCUCACCCUAGUGGUAAUCCUGGAGCUGCAAAUCCUGUGGGGGUUGGGCACCAGGCCCCAGCGACAACUUGAACUUGGUGGACUUUAUGGGACCUGAGCCUCUUCCCCAAGGAAAAGAAUCUGAGACACAGCUCUACUCCCAGCCCAGGGCCAUGUGACUGGGCUUCAUGGUCCCUUUGGGACACUCCAUUCCUGACAACAGCCCUGGCAAGGGCGAGGGUGGGAAGAAUACUGGGUGUGAUAAAACCCAGUCGACCUUGACCAGCUUGCUGUGACUGAGAUCAAAGGGCUGAAGUUAUGUCUGAGGAUUCCCCUUGAUUACCAACAACAAAUCAUGAAGCUAAAUAAACUUUUCUCAACUAUGACUGAUUAAAAACAAUUAAACACAUUUUGCUACUUGGGGAGCUAAGGUAAGGAGGAUCACUUGAGGCCGGGAGCUGGGGGCUUCAGUGCGCCACAAUUACACCUGUGAAUAGCCACUGCAUUCCAGCCUGGGCAAUACAGUGAGACCGCAUCUCUAAAAACAAACAAACCAACAAACCACAGAUACUGGCCUACUGUGUUAGAAAACUAAUCUUUCCUUAGAAGACAGAUUUAUCGUUCUACUUUUUCUUUUUAAUAGAAGAUGAUACUUAAAAGUCAUUGUCAUUAAGAGGCGAUCAAAGAAUAUACAGCCAAAAUAUGUAGGGAA